This is a long non-coding RNA of Sinocyclocheilus anshuiensis, 497 nucleotides long. RefSeq lists it as uncharacterized. The transcript has 3 exons. Lineage: Eukaryota; Metazoa; Chordata; Actinopteri; Cypriniformes; Cyprinidae. The record is from RefSeq and is a predicted model, not a curated record.
ACAACACGUGCAGAUCCUGCAGAUGAUUUAGUCUAAAAAGCUGUUAAUGUCACGUUGAAAGCACAUCUUUCAGCUCAACUGCAAACAAAACCGACACAGUCUGAUAAAACUGAGUGUCACGCGACUCACCUAAUAAGUGAUGUCUUGUUGGCUGUAAACUGGUCCGGCUGAAGCAGAGCUCUGGGACGUGUGGACAGACAUUGACUGUAAUGAUGGACAUCUGCUCAGGGACAGUCUGUGCAAAAGUAUAACCGCUGCGGGUCACGGUGCUGGAAACUCCAGGGGGAGACCGUACUGAUAUCCCCCUUCUUCAGGCGCGCCUUCACACACACACUCCAGCAUUCACUCGUAUCGCAGAGACCUGGCUGGGAUCAAACCAGCAACCUCUGAACCGUGAGGCAGCGCUCUUACCUGUGAGCCACAGAUCUCUUGUUGGAGCACAUGAAGGAACUUAUAUCUGACUGUUUACCUGUGAUUUCCCAAUAAAGAUGUUGAAG